Molecule: transfer RNA, 88 nt
Filed under: Actinomadura madurae
Lineage: Bacteria; Bacillati; Actinomycetota; Actinomycetes; Streptosporangiales; Thermomonosporaceae
Description: tRNA-Trp(cca)
Source: RNAcentral
GCGCCGCCGCGGGCUGCGGCUCGUCCGGCUCGUCCUCCAGCGGCGAACUCGCCCCCAACGGCCGGUUCGACACCGGCGGCACCGCCCC